CAUCCGUAUAGUAUGUGUAAGAAAGGGAGG
Molecule: small RNA, 30 nt
Filed under: Archaeoglobus fulgidus
Lineage: Archaea; Methanobacteriati; Methanobacteriota; Archaeoglobi; Archaeoglobales; Archaeoglobaceae
Source: RNAcentral